This is a small nucleolar RNA of Budorcas taxicolor (takin), 130 nucleotides long. RefSeq annotates it as small nucleolar RNA SNORA70. The record is from RefSeq and is a predicted model, not a curated record. Lineage: Eukaryota; Metazoa; Chordata; Mammalia; Artiodactyla; Bovidae. The transcript has a single exon.
UUGCGGCCAAUUAAGUCAACGGUGCAUUUUCCCCAUGGCUGGGGGCGGGGGUGCUGUGUGCUGUCUGCCUUCUGGGUAGGGCAUGCAGCCUGCGGCCUGUUCAGGUUGCUCUAAGGGACCUGGGACGUUC